AAAUUGAAGAGUUUGAUCAUGGCUCAGAUUGAACGCUGGCGGCAGGCCUAACACAUGCAAGUCGAACGGUAACAGAAAGCAGCUUGCUGCUUUGCUGACGAGUGGCGGACGGGUGAGUAAUGUCUGGGAAACUGCCUGAUGGAGGGGGAUAACUACUGGAAACGGUAGCUAAUACCGCAUAACGUCGCAAGACCAAAGAGGGGGACCUUCGGGCCUCUUGCCAUCGGAUGUGCCCAGAUGGGAUUAGCUAGUAGGUGGGGUAACGGCUCACCUAGGCGACGAUCCCUAGCUGGUCUGAGAGGAUGACCAGCCACACUGGAACUGAGACACGGUCCAG
Molecule: ribosomal RNA, 337 nt
Filed under: Escherichia coli
Lineage: Bacteria; Pseudomonadati; Pseudomonadota; Gammaproteobacteria; Enterobacterales; Enterobacteriaceae
Description: bacterial SSU rRNA
Rfam family: Bacterial small subunit ribosomal RNA
Source: RNAcentral